AAGAAUGCAUAUAUACUAUACCCAAUUUCACUCACGUGUAUUCAUGAGCUAUGAUAAGCACAAAAAAUAAACUAUGGCAGUAACAACAAAUAACAGCAAAGAAGUAAUUGGAAUCAGUGCAACACACUACAUUUGCCGGCAUGGAGAUCCUAAUACUUUUGUACACUCAACUUUAUAUUCUUUCCGCGCCACCACCGUCAGCAUAGCCUUCAUUAUGCUUUUCUUCAAGGUUUCACUUGAAAAGUACGAGGGCACUGACACACACUACAGCUAAAAUUCUCAAUAAAUAAGCCCCGUUUCUAUUUAUAUCCAGUAAGUAAAACUUUGGGAUACCAGCAUUAAGUAUUUUCUACCUGGUAACAAAAAACACAUAAAACCAAAUCAGAGCCC
Molecule: long non-coding RNA, 390 nt
Filed under: Triticum aestivum (bread wheat)
Lineage: Eukaryota; Viridiplantae; Streptophyta; Magnoliopsida; Poales; Poaceae
Description: long non-coding RNA (TAES_LNC007792)
Source: RNAcentral